CAGCGCCACGAGUGGCAAUCGCAUUUAUUGGGCCUAAAGCGUCCGUAGCCUGUUUGGUAAGUCUUUUGUGAAAUCGUUGCGCUCAACGUAACGCUGUGCAAGAGAGACUGCCAGACUUGGAACCGGGAAGGGUUAGAGGUAUUCUUGGGGGAGCGGUAAAAUGCUAUAAUCCCAAGAGGACCACUGUGGCGAAGGCGUCUAACUAGAACGGCUUCGACGGUGAGGGACGAAAGCUGAGGGAGCAAUCCGGAUUAGAGACCCGAGUAGUCC
RNAcentral lists this ribosomal RNA (270 nucleotides) under uncultured archaeon. RNAcentral's name for it is "partial 16S ribosomal RNA". It matches the Rfam family "Archaeal small subunit ribosomal RNA", at positions 477 to 747 of the family's 1478-position model. The record is from RNAcentral.